AUGCUUUCCACUUGGGAAGAAACGCAAGCGAGAAAUGAAAGUCUCAUUUGUGUCGGGAGCAAGUUCGGGACCCCGGGACCAGGGCGCGCGCCUCGGGGUGGCGGUCGGGCUCUAGGAGUCCACCCAGGAGGGGAAGCAGGCCGGGGGCACCGCAAAACCCAAGCCUGCUGCAGGGCUAUAAAUAAAUAUGGCCAUCAAGACAGACCGAAAUUCUGUCGCAGCGUGCAAGUUCCCAAGUUUUCCAGAACUCUUCUUCAGCCCAAGUGGUAUACACAACUUAAAGUAAGGGAGGGAAGGAAGGAGCAAAGAAGCCCCCAAAUUCAGCCAGAUGUGGUUGUGGCCAGAAAGUCCCUUCAAAGCAUGUUCGUCUGUUUCCCGGCCAACUGUCUUUGGACUGCCAUCAGCUGGGAAAACUGUACACCUGGAACGAUGAGUACCUUGGGCAUAAAGGAGACGAAAUCUAGGGAGAGUCUGUCUCUUUGUCUUUUUAAAAAUUACAUGUUGCUCUCACUUUGUACCAGGAGAAGAGUGGGAAGCCCGCAGCGCGUUCGCGGUCAUUACCACUCCGUGUUUCGGAGGUCCCGGGAAGAGGGGCGGUCCGGCCUGGCCCCCUUCCGCCCCCUCUCCCUGCCACUUCGACAAGGGUCGGCUAGAACCGGGACUUCUCUCUAUUUCACCUCCUUGCUCUCUCCCCGGAUGCUUGCCUGGGACAGAGAGAUCAGGCUCUUCCAGCUCUGUGGCCAGGCGAGGCCCUCGUGUGUGAUGGCGGCGGAAGAGUUGAAAGACUCUGGGCAGCUCCUUCUUGACAGCGGGGCUCAUUGUUAUCGCCCUCCAUCCUCCUCUGGGCGGGAGGCGCCGGCAAAACAGGGCGAUUCGACGGAGCAUCCUUGCUCGCGAAGGCGCUUCGGUCUGAUUUACUUCCCCAAAUCAGCAAUUACUGAAAAGACAAACUCGCCCAUCCGCACCCCGGUUUUCGCUGAGAUCCUGCAGGUGCCAGGCUCAAAGUGGGCCAGGUUCGCUGUUCUCGCUCCAUCUUCGUUGUUGUCAGGAUCGGGCUCCGGCGGGGAGGCUUAG
RNAcentral lists this long non-coding RNA (1074 nucleotides) under Pogona vitticeps (central bearded dragon). RNAcentral's name for it is "lncRNA (ENSPVIG00000013768.1)". Lineage: Eukaryota; Metazoa; Chordata; Lepidosauria; Squamata; Agamidae. The record is from RNAcentral.